This 336-nucleotide long non-coding RNA is filed under the name Polistes fuscatus (common paper wasp). RNAcentral's name for it is "uncharacterized LOC122517440, transcript variant X1". Lineage: Eukaryota; Metazoa; Arthropoda; Insecta; Hymenoptera; Vespidae. The record is from RNAcentral.
CCCUGACUCUGAGGCAGUCGUCGAGGUUUCCGCAGAGACGCAUCACACGUGCACUACGCGCACUAGGUCAUUGCUCCUCUCCCGUUUAAAAGCAACAUUGGUUACACCGGCACUUGUCCGAGGCUCGCUCAACCAAACCAAGGAAAGAAAUUUUGACUGUAUCCUUCCAAACCAAAUAAUAAUUGAAACUUGGAACGAAAGUUACCUCAUAUAAAAAAAGAAUGACGAUGUAUAAGGUAGGUCCAGACACAGUCUCACGAAGGACGAGUUACGAAAGUGUACGCCUUAAAUUUCAUCUUUAAGGGAAAAAAAUAUUAGAGUUUUUUGUUUUUGUAA